RNAcentral lists this ribosomal RNA (465 nucleotides) under Vreelandella stevensii. RNAcentral describes it as "partial 16S ribosomal RNA". It matches the Rfam family "Bacterial small subunit ribosomal RNA", at positions 338 to 795 of the family's 1533-position model. Lineage: Bacteria; Pseudomonadati; Pseudomonadota; Gammaproteobacteria; Oceanospirillales; Halomonadaceae. The record is from RNAcentral.
CCUACGGGUGGCUGCAGUGGGGAAUAUUGGACAAUGGGCGAAAGCCUGAUCCAGCCAUGCCGCGUGUGUGAAGAAGGCCUUCGGGUUGUAAAGCACUUUCAGUGGGGAAGAAAGCCUUGGGGCUAAUACCCUCGAGGAAGGACAUCACCCACAGAAGAAGCACCGGCUAACUCCGUGCCAGCAGCCGCGGUAAUACGGAGGGUGCGAGCGUUAAUCGGAAUUACUGGGCGUAAAGCGCGCGUAGGCGGUCUGAUAAGCCGGUUGUGAAAGCCCCGGGCUCAACCUGGGAACGGCAUCCGGAACUGUCAGGCUAGAGUGCAGGAGAGGAAGGUAGAAUUCCCGGUGUAGCGGUGAAAUGCGUAGAGAUCGGGAGGAAUACCAGUGGCGAAGGUGGCCUUCUGGACUGACACUGACGCUGAGGUGCGAAAGCGUGGGUAGCAAACAGGAUUAGAUACCCGUGUAGUC